GACUAACACCGAUAUGCUUUGGGGAGCUGUACGUAAGCGUUGAUCCAGAGAUUUCCGAAUGGGGGAACCCACUAUCUUUAGUCGGAUAGUAUCCUUACGUGAAUACAUAGCGUGAGGAAGGCAGACCCAGGGAACUGAAACAUCUAAGUACCUGGAGGAAGAGAAAGAAAAAUCGAUUUCCUGAGUAGCGGCGAGCGAAACGGAAAGAGCCCAAACCAAGAAGCUUGCUUCUUGGGGUUGUAGGACACUCUAUACGGAGUUACAAAAGAAAGUUAUAAAUGAAGCGGUCUGGAAAGGCCCGCCAAAGACGGUAACAGCCCGGUAGUUGAAAUAGCUUUCCCUCCAGAGUGGAUCCUGAGUACGGCGGAACACGUGAAAUUCCGUCGGAAUCCGGGAGGACCAUCUCCCAAGGCUAAAUACUCCCUAGUGACCGAUAGUGAACCAGUACCGUGAGGGAAAGGUGAAAAGCACCCCGGAAGGGGAGUGAAACAGUUCCUGAAACCGUGUGCCUACAAGUAGUUAGAGCCCGUUAAUGGGUGAUAGCGUGCCUUUUGUAGAAUGAACCGGCGAGUUACGAUUUGU
Molecule: ribosomal RNA, 582 nt
Filed under: Listeria monocytogenes
Lineage: Bacteria; Bacillati; Bacillota; Bacilli; Caryophanales; Listeriaceae
Description: partial 23S ribosomal RNA
Rfam family: Bacterial large subunit ribosomal RNA
Source: RNAcentral